RNAcentral lists this ribosomal RNA (305 nucleotides) under uncultured bacterium. Its description in RNAcentral is "bacterial SSU rRNA". It matches the Rfam family "Bacterial small subunit ribosomal RNA", at positions 333 to 652 of the family's 1533-position model. The record is from RNAcentral.
GAACUCCUACGGGACGCAGCAGUGGGGAAUAUUGGACAAUGGGGGGAACCCUGAUCCAGCGACGCCGCGUGAGUGAAGAAGUAUUUCGGUAUGUAAAGCUCUAUCAGCAGGGAAGAAAGAAAUGACGGUACCUGACUAAGAAGCCCCGGCUAACUACGUGCCAGCAGCCGCGGUAAUACGUAGGAGGCAAGCGUUAUCCGGAUUUACUGGGUGUAAAGGGAGCGUAGACGGCGAUGCAAGUCUGAAGUGAAAGGCGGGGGCCCAACCCCCGGACUGCUUUGGAAACUGUAUGGCUGGAGGGCAGG